This is a long non-coding RNA of Tripterygium wilfordii, 567 nucleotides long. RefSeq lists it as uncharacterized. The record is from RefSeq and is a predicted model, not a curated record. The transcript is spliced from 2 exons. NCBI's taxonomy places the organism in Eukaryota, Viridiplantae, Streptophyta, Magnoliopsida, Celastrales, Celastraceae.
AAUUUUUGUUUUGAUACAGUGAAAUCAAAGUUUCCAGCUCCCCUUGCUACAAAAACAUUUUACUCUCAAAGAAACCAUCGCCUCCGUUUAGCAAUUAAUCAUCUAUAUUCCGCGGUAUCAGCUGCAGAUGUAACCAGCAGCCUGGUGGGUCCAGAACUAUCACAGGAAAUGCAAUGAGAAGCAUCAUCUCAGAUGUUCUCUUCACUCAAACAAGUUGAUGAUUUGAGCAAUGAGCAGACAGAGUCCUUCUUCAUGGAGACAUUUUACUCAAAUUUCUGAUUUGGGCUUGAACAAAUCGGGAGUAUGGCUGUCAUCCUGCAACCCUACAAAUAAUCUUCAUAUCGAUGAUGCUCCAAGGCAAGAGAUUGCUCCCGUUGGAUUGCUUAGGGGCAAAUAUGUCUCAAAGCUGUUUUCAUUCACAGGAAACUCGGGUAUUACCACUUAUUAUUGUUUGCUAACUAAAAAAUUCUUAGUUUUUUUGGAUUAGCUGCGGUCUUGAACAUUAUCUUUGCUAGUAAAGAAAUUUUAAAGUAUCUUGGCCACUAAAUCUAUAAUAAGCCUAAUAAC